Long non-coding RNA from Daphnia carinata, 293 nucleotides. RefSeq lists it as uncharacterized. The transcript is spliced from 2 exons. The record is from RefSeq and is a predicted model, not a curated record. NCBI's taxonomy places the organism in Eukaryota, Metazoa, Arthropoda, Branchiopoda, Diplostraca, Daphniidae.
UUGAAAUGGUACGCGAUGACUCUGCAUCGUCUGAAAAGAGAGAUGAAGCAGUGACCAAGAGGAGGGAAUUAUCGAUCGACCACAUCAAUAAGAAGCAGGGAAAAAAAGAGAGACGUUGCUGCGUCAAAACGGAGGAAGCGGGUCCCGCAUCCCUGAGGCGAUGGCCAAAAUCGGAUGGAGAUGCGCCCAAAUGACUGCGAGGAUGUCUCCCUGCAGACGCCUUACUUCCUGCACUUCCCGGAUGGUAGAAAGCGGAAGCAGACAACGAUAACGAAGAUGGAGCACUUCAAAAG